Molecule: ribosomal RNA, 177 nt
Filed under: uncultured bacterium
Lineage: Bacteria
Description: partial 16S ribosomal RNA
Rfam family: Bacterial small subunit ribosomal RNA
Source: RNAcentral
UCAGAGUUUGAUCCUGGCUCAGUGUGAAAAACUCCGGUGGUAUAAGAUGGACCCGCGUUGGAUUAGCUUGUUGGUGGGGCAACGGCCCACCAAGGCGACGAUCCAUAGCCGGCCUGAGAGGGUGAACGGCCACAUUGGGACUGAGACACGGCCCAGACUCCUACGGGAGGCAGCAUG